CGCUGGCGGCGUGCCUAAUACAUGCAAGUCGAACGGUCUUUCUAUGGAAGCUUGCUUCCACUGAGAAGAUAGUGGCGAACGGGUGAGUAACACGUGGGUAACCUGCCCAUAAGAGGGGGAUAACAUCCGGAAACGGGUGCUAAUACCGCAUAGUUUUCUUGAUCGCAUGAUUGAGAAAGGAAAGAUGGCCUUUGUGCUGUCGCUUAUGGAUGGACCCGCGGCGUAUUAGUUAGUUGGUGAGGUAACGGCUCACCAAGACGAUGAUAUGUAGCCGACCUGAGAGGGUGAUCGGCCACAUUGGGACUGAGACACGGCCCAAACUCCUACGGGAGGCAGCAGUAGGGAAUCUUCCGCAAUGGACGAAAGUCUGACGGAGCAACGCCGCGUGAGUGAAGAAAGGUUUUCGGAUCGUAAAACUCUGUUGUCAGAGAAGAACAAGUUGGAGAGUAACUGCUCCAGCCUUGACGGUAUCUGACCAGAAAGCCACGGCUAACUACGUGCCAGCCGCUGC
Molecule: ribosomal RNA, 511 nt
Filed under: uncultured bacterium
Lineage: Bacteria
Description: bacterial SSU rRNA
Rfam family: Bacterial small subunit ribosomal RNA
Source: RNAcentral